This 3209-nucleotide ribosomal RNA is filed under the name Pinus taeda (loblolly pine). RNAcentral's name for it is "eukaryotic LSU rRNA". It matches the Rfam family "Eukaryotic large subunit ribosomal RNA". Lineage: Eukaryota; Viridiplantae; Streptophyta; Pinopsida; Pinales; Pinaceae. The record is from RNAcentral.
GCAACCUCAGCUUAGGUGAUAACACUCGCUAAGUUUAAGCAUAUAAUUAAGUAGAGGAAAGAAACUUACAAGGAUUCCCCUAAUAGCGGUGAGCGAACCGGGAAGAGCCCAGCAUGAAAAUCGGGCAGCAGUGUCACCUGAAUUGUAGUCUGUAGAAGUGUCCUCAGCGGCGGACCUGGGUCAUGUCCCUUGGAAGGGGGCGCCUGAGAGGGUGACAGCCCCGUCGGCCCAGGACCCUGCCGCAUCACGAGGCAUCGUUGGCGAGUCGGGUUGUUUGGGAAUUCAACCCUAAUUGGGUGGUAAAUUCCAUCCAAGGCUAAAUACAGGCGAGAGACCGAUAGCGAACAAGUACCGCGAGGGAAAGAUGAAAAGGAAUUUCAAAAGAGAGUUAAAGAGUGCUUGAAAUUAUCGGGAGGGAAGCGAAUGGAGGCUGUCGAUGCGUCUCGGUUGGAUGUGGAACGGCUCAGGCUGAUCCGCCGCUAGACUUGAGGUGCAAACCAACACGGGCUGCUGCAUCGUCACAAGCGCAGGUGGAUUGCCGCCUGUCGGUUUGCCGCUGCGGUGGUCGAGGAAUGAAGUGUGUGCCCUUGUGGUGGGCUGUGUGCACCUGCGCGCUCGUGGUUUUGGUCGAUGGGCUUUCCAUUUGACCCGUCUUAAAACACGGACCAAGGAGUCUAACAUGUGUGCGAGUCAGUGGGUUUGAAAACCUGAGAGGCGCAAGGAAGCUGAUGGGCAAGAUCCCCUCUCUUGGGGGGGUGCAUUUUCGACCGACCUUGAGCUUAUGCGAAGGGUUCGAGUGCGAGCACACCUGUUGGGACCCGAAAGAUGGUGAACUAUGCCUGAGCAAGGCGAAGCCAAAGGAAACUCUGGUGGAGGCUUGUAGCGAUACUGACGUGCAAAUCAUUUGUCUGACUUGGGUAUAGGGGCAAGAGACUAAUUGAACCAUCUAGUAGCUGGUUUCCUCUGAAGUUUCCCUCAGGAUAGUUGGAGCUCACGCGUGAGUUUUAUCGGGUAAAGAAAAUUAUUAGAGGCAUCAGGCGUGUAAUGCCCUCGACCUAUUCUCAAACUUUAAAUAGGUAAGAGGGUGCGGCUGCUCCAUUGAGUCGCGUCAUGGAAUAGAGAGCUCCAAGUGGGCCAUUUUUGGUAAGCAUAACUGGUGAUGCGGGAUGAACCGAAAAUCGAGUUACGGUGCCGAAUUGCGCGCUAACCUAGAUCCCACAAAGGGUGUUGGUUGAUUAGGACAGUAGGACGGUGGUCAUGGAAGUUGAAAUCCGUUGAGUGUGUAACAACUCACCUGUCGAAUCAACUAGCCUCAAAAAUGGAUGGCGAUGAAGCGCGCAACCUAUACUCGAUCUUCGGAGCAAUUUCCUGGCUCCGAUGAGUAAGAGGACACAGGGGUCAUUAACAAACCUCGGGCGUGAGCUUGGGUGGAUCGACCCCCGGUGCAGAUCUUAGUGGUAGUAGAAAAUAUUCAAAUGAGAACUGUGAAGACUGAAGUGGGGAAAGGUUCCAUGUGAAUAGUACUUGGACAUGGGUUAGUCGAUCCUAAGAGAUGGGGAAGCCUUGUAUCAAGGGUGCACUCUGCAUGAGCAUCGAAAGGGAAUCAAGUUAAUAUUCUUGAACCGGGACAUGGUGGCGGGCGACAACGUUAGGAAAUCCAGAGACAUCGUCGGGGGCCCCGAGAAGAGUUAUCUUUUCCUUUUAACAGCUUUCCCACCCUAGAAUCGGUUCACCCAGAGAUAGGGUCCAGCAGCUGGAAGAGCCCCACACAUCUUGCGGUGUCCGGUGAGCCCUUUGCGGCCCUUGAAAAUCUGGAGGACCGAGUACCACUCAUACCCAGUCAUACUCAUAAUUGCAUCAGGUCUCCAAGGUGAACAGCCUCUGGUUAAUAGAACAAUGUAGGUAAGGGAAGUCGGCAAAAUGGAUCCGUAACUUUGGGAAAAGGAUUGGCUCUGAGGGUUGGGCCUAGGGGUUUGUGCCCUCAACUCGUGGGCUGUUGGCAGUUUGGCCGAGUUGCUCUCACGGCGAGGGCAGGCAGUCGCAUGUCGAUUGGGCUACAGGCAUAGAAUGCCCCCUGCCAGGGGCUUUUCCCUAGGCGUCGAACAAUCGACUCAGAACUGGUACAGACAAGGGGAAUUCGACUGUUUAAUUAAAACAAAGCAUUGCGCGGGUAAACAGUGGGAGUAACUAUGACUCUCUUAAGGUAGCCAAAUGCAUCGUCAUCUAAUUAGUGACGUGCAUGAAUGGAUUAAUGAGAUACCCACUAUCCCUAUCUACUAUCUAGUGAAACCACAACCAAGGGAAUAGGCUUGGAAGAAUCAGUGGGGAAAGAAGACCUUGUUGAGCUUGACUCUAGUCCGACUUUGUGAAAUGACUUGAGAGGUGUAGAAUAAGUGGGAGCCAUUUUCUCCGCAAGUGAAAUACCACUAAUUUUAACGUUAUUUUACUUAUUUUGUGGGGUGGAGAUGGGGCACUGCCCUUGUUUUUUGCCUUCAGGCACGUUUCGGAGGGUCGAUCCGGGUGGAAGACAUUGUCAAGUGGGGAGUUUGGCUGGGGCGGAACAUCUGUUAAAAGAUAACGUAGGUGUCCUAAGAUGAGCUCAACGAGAACAAAAAUCUCAUGUGGAACAAAAGGGUAAAAGCUCAUUUGAUUUUGAUUUUCAGUACGAAUACAAACCGUGAAAGCGUGGCCUAUCGAUCCUUUAGAUUUUCAAAAUUUGAAGCUAGAGGUGUUAGAAAAGUUACCACAGGGAUAACUAGCUUGUGGCAGCCAAGCGUUCAUAGCGGCGUUGCUUUUUUAUCCUUCGAUGUCGGCUCUUCCUAUCAUUGUGAAGAAGAAUUCACCAAGUGUUGGAUUGUUCAACCACCAAUAGGGAACGUGAGAUGGGUUUAGACCGUCGUGAGACAGGUUAAUUUUACCCUACUGAUGAACCACACUGCAAUAGUAAUUCAACUUAGUACGAGAGGAACCGUUGAUUCACACAAUUGGUCAUUGCGAUUGGUUGAAAAUCCAGUGAAACGAAGCUACCGUGUAUCGGAUUAUGACUGAAUGCCUCUAAGUCAGAAUCCAUGCAAGAAGCAGUGCAUGUCACUCUUCGACUAUAUCUCGACCCGCAGUAGGGGUGUCGCUUUGUAGCCCCUAGGGGCCUGUGUCAUUUGCAAACUGCGACCGUGAAGCAUCUCAGUCGGGGCAGCUUUGAAGUUCAAUUC